GGGUUGUAAACUUCUUUUAUAUGGGAAUAAAGUUUUCCACGUGUGGAAUUUUGUAUGUACCAUAUGAAUAAGGAUCGGCUAACUCCGUGCCAGCAGCCGCGGUAAUACGGAGGAUCCGAGCGUUAUCCGGAUUUAUUGGGUUUAAAGGGAGCGUAGGUGGACAGUUAAGUCAGUUGUGAAAGUUUGCGGCUCAACCGUAAAAUUGCAGUUGAUACUGGCUGUCUUGAGUACAGUAGAGGUGGGCGGAAUUCGUGGUGUAGCGGUGAAAUGCUUAGAUAUCACGAAGAACUCCGAUUGCGAAGGCAGCUCACUGGACUGCAACUGACACUGAUGCUCGAAAGUGUGGGUAUCAAACAGGAUUAGAUACCCUGGUAGUCCACACAGUAAA
This 388-nucleotide ribosomal RNA is filed under the name uncultured bacterium. RNAcentral describes it as "bacterial SSU rRNA". It matches the Rfam family "Bacterial small subunit ribosomal RNA", at positions 420 to 806 of the family's 1533-position model. The record is from RNAcentral.